This 1247-nucleotide ribosomal RNA is filed under the name Enterobacter sp. WPR_3_1. RNAcentral describes it as "bacterial LSU rRNA". It matches the Rfam family "Bacterial large subunit ribosomal RNA", at positions 398 to 1644 of the family's 2925-position model. The record is from RNAcentral. Lineage: Bacteria; Pseudomonadati; Pseudomonadota; Gammaproteobacteria; Enterobacterales; Enterobacteriaceae.
UGUGAACUCGAAGAGUAGGGCGGGACACGUGGUAUCCUGUCUGAAUAUGGGGGGACCAUCCUCCAAGGCUAAAUACUCCUGACUGACCGAUAGUGAACCAGUACCGUGAGGGAAAGGCGAAAAGAACCCCGGCGAGGGGAGUGAAAAAGAACCUGAAACCGUGUACGUACAAGCAGUGGGAGCCUCUUUUAUGGGGUGACUGCGUACCUUUUGUAUAAUGGGUCAGCGACUUAUAUUCUGUAGCAAGGUUAACCGUAUAGGGGAGCCGAAGGGAAACCGAGUCUUAACUGGGCGUUAAGUUGCAGGGUAUAGACCCGAAACCCGGUGAUCUAGCCAUGGGCAGGUUGAAGGUUGGGUAACACUAACUGGAGGACCGAACCGACUAAUGUUGAAAAAUUAGCGGAUGACUUGUGGCUGGGGGUGAAAGGCCAAUCAAACCGGGAGAUAGCUGGUUCUCCCCGAAAGCUAUUUAGGUAGCGCCUCGUGAACUCAUCUUCGGGGGUAGAGCACUGUUUCGGCUAGGGGGCCAUCCCGGCUUACCAACCCGAUGCAAACUACGAAUACCGAAGAAUGUUAUCACGGGAGACACACGGCGGGUGCUAACGUCCGUCGUGAAGAGGGAAACAACCCAGACCGCCAGCUAAGGUCCCAAAGUCAUGGUUAAGUGGGAAACGAUGUGGGAAGGCACAGACAGCCAGGAUGUUGGCUUAGAAGCAGCCAUCAUUUAAAGAAAGCGUAAUAGCUCACUGGUCGAGUCGGCCUGCGCGGAAGAUGUAACGGGGCUAAACCAUGCACCGAAGCUGCGGCAGCGACGCUUAUGCGUUGUUGGGUAGGGGAGCGUUCUGUAAGCCGUUGAAGGUGUCCUGUGAGGGGUGCUGGAGGUAUCAGAAGUGCGAAUGCUGACAUAAGUAACGAUAAAGCGGGUGAAAAGCCCGCUCGCCGGAAGACCAAGGGUUCCUGUCCAACGUUAAUCGGGGCAGGGUGAGUCGACCCCUAAGGCGAGGCCGAAAGGCGUAGUCGAUGGGAAACAGGUUAAUAUUCCUGUACUUGGUGUUACUGCGAAGGGGGGACGGAGAAGGCUAUGUUAGCCGGGCGACGGUUGUCCCGGUUUAAGCAUGUAGGCGGAGGUUCCAGGUAAAUCCGGUUCCUUAUUAACGCUGAGGUGUGAUGACGAGGCACUACGGUGCUGAAGUAACAAAUGCCCUGCUUCCAGGAAAAGCCUCUAAGCAUCAGGUAACAUCAAAUCG